RNAcentral lists this long non-coding RNA (3090 nucleotides) under Triticum aestivum (bread wheat). RNAcentral's name for it is "long non-coding RNA (TAES_LNC013793)". The record is from RNAcentral. Lineage: Eukaryota; Viridiplantae; Streptophyta; Magnoliopsida; Poales; Poaceae.
UGUCAGUAACUUUGCUCCUGUGCUGGCAUUAAAAAGAAUAAAUACGGGAGCAACCACAAUAGAGAAUAGGUUUGUGGUAGAAAAAUAGAAAAAGCGGUGCUAACCUACAAAUCUUCAACACGGUUGUUCAUUUUCCUGGUAAAUAGAUAAAUGUUAACAUUGUUUGCUAUUUGUGUUGCAUCCCAGUUUUACUAUAUCAAGUAAAUUUAUGCUUUAUCUGUACAAUUCUAUUUUCCUGUACUUGUUCAUCUCAAAUCUGCUCGUGUGUGAAUGAUGCAUUUUAGUAACUUUGGUUUGUUGGUGUACUGCUCCUGUUCUUGGUGUUUUGGUACUCUAAUUUGGAACUUCUGUUUCACUGUUACCUAAUCAGGAGAACCAAGUUGAAGGGUUGGAUAAUCUUAGGGUCUUGAAGUUUAGGACACUUCACUAAAAAGCUCAGUACCUGCAGUUCCAAGAAAGUAAACUGCAACAGGCCGCCGAGCAACAGUAGUGUUUCCCAGUUAUAUAUGUAAAACUAGCUCUCAAAGUAUUAAAGCUGCUGGUAUACAUCCAUUUUAAUUUUAAGUGCACAGCUUGAGGGCAGUGCCAAGAUCUGUGUGCCAUGCAUUUCUUCAUAAAUCAUAAUAAACAUUAUACUAUUUUAAUACAGAUUAAAAAGCAUAUAUGUAGCUGUUAUGCUAUACCACAACAGAAAUAAGCACUAAUACUUCAGAAACCAAAAUAUAGUGUACAAAAAGUAUUUUAACAGAGAACAAUAGGAAGUGUCAUAGUAUAUGGAUUAUAUUCCCAAAAUGGUGGCAUCUAGGGCAAACAAUUUGUGCAUCGUAAUACUCAGGGUCAACAAUAGGAAGUGUCACAGUAUAUUUUCUGAAUUUCGGAUUCACAAACUGUUGUCGUAGGUUGUGUUCUUUAUCUGGUCCAUGUGCCUAAUGUCUGACAUAAAAGGAUGAUCUCAUUUCUGACUUUGUAAUUCUCAUCUCAGGAUCCAGUAAUGGUUGCAAUGACCGCAGCAUGUGCACCAGCACUAUCAGGUGAGAACAUUGGUCUAAGUACACUUAUGUACCUAACAUUCUGUUAGUCCCUUGUGUGAUGUUGUUUGCAAGAAAAUUGUUUGUAGCUGUGGAAUCGGUCAACAGCAUUAAAAAUCAAGAUUACAGCGAUGCUACCUCAUUUGCAGCGAUUAAUUCCCCCAUGCUUCUAAUUGAUGACUUCAGUACUCCAAAACAGAAACAAUCAUUCUCUACACUGCUCACAACCCGCAAUACCGGUUGAAUGUGCAUGGCAUCUGUCUAAUAGUAGUUGAAUUUUAGUUUGCUUCAAAAUAUAUUACUAACAUGUGACAGAAAGUGAGAUCUCAUAAGUAAAUAACAUGUAGUAUUUUACAGAUCAAUAAGGUAUUAUGUUUGUGACACAAGGUCGAUGGUAUUAAACUUCCAAUUUGUCCUGCAGGGUUCUCUGUAUAAGCCCCAGUGUAAUAGCUUGUAAUAAUAUGCAUCUGCAAGGCAGUCAUAAAACUCCCUUUAAAUUGCCUGAUGCCACUUGUUUGUCUUUCUCAUUUAUGCUUUCAACUAAUCCUUGAAAUUGUAAUACAUUGAUCGUAGGUCUAUGCAUGCCCGUGUAAGCUUUAACCCUGUGUGAAUCUGUAGCCUACAUUCCUAUUUUUCUCAAGGUAACCCAGAUUUACUUUUUGCAUGCCCAAUAUGUUUGUAUCCAUGUCCAAUAAUUGUCCUUUUUAGACGGGUAAAGUCAAAUUUAUAAUUGUAACCUUGGGUCAUAAUCUCUAACCUUCACCACUAUGAAACCUUUAUGAGCUGGUUUUUAUGCAAGCAGCUAAGGUCCAUUCAAUGGUAUGAACAUGAAUGUUUGUCAGUUGUUAGAUUUUUUUUUUGAGUUAGAACAUAUGCGUCUUAUACUGAUCUCUUGCGAAAAAUGAGUUCUAUGUUGUACUCUCUGUUAGAUUUAUCCUGCUAUCACAUGCCAUUUUUAUUUGAUUUGAAAACUCCCAUGUAGAAGCUGGAAUGUCAGCAUCGACCUCAUGCGUACUCGGAAUUUUAUCUUAAGUUUGACAUCUAGGUUAUGUAUCCUUGGUUGGAGCGGUGAAUGAGGUUGGACAUAAUGAAUGUCUCUCUCCUCAAGAUAUGGUAUUUGGUAUAUGUUUCUAACUGACACCUACUCCCUCCGUUCCAAAAUAGAUGACCCAACUUUGUACUAAAGUUAGUACAAAAUUGAGUCAUCUUUUUUGGAACGGAGGGAGUACUUAUUUGGUGUUCUUAGCUAGGUACAUUGAACUGAUCAAGUGUAUCAGAGUCCAUGGAGGUAAAAAACUCCCAUGUAGAAGCUGGAAUGCAAGUGGAUGAAGCUCGAUUAACAGGAAGCACUAAAACAGGACACAAAAUUAUACUCCCUCCCCAAAAUGUAAGGCGCCGAUUGACUUUUCUGGUCUUUGUUACACAACUUCUAUGAUUUUCAUGUGGUAUAUGUCUACAGAAUUAAUAUACAGACAUAUGAAAAAACAAAUGUGACGAUGCCAUUUAUACAUGUAAUGCACUUGGUAUAUAUUAGUGGUCAAAGUCGUGCAUCAAAGACCAUGUAAAGUCAAUUGCGCCUUAUAUUUUGGGAAGGAGGGAGUACUCGUAGAUCGUUUCUGUCAUGUACUAUCAAGAUGCCUGUUGGACGGUGAUAGUUUCAGUUCUUUACACCCGGUCCUGCUGGCCAUGUACUAAAAGCGAUCUAUGUAUACCUCGUGUUAUAUUCUCGUAUACUCAAAUGCUUGAUGAGCGGUGAUAGUUCCACUCCUCAAUUUGCUCAUGCACUUAGAUACUUCUAGUUGGACAUGUAUAUGUAGUUCUGCUUGAUAUGGGAUGGCUUAGUUCUCUCAUGUGCUAAACAAUUUGUGAUAUAUAUUAACGUUUUCUUAGCAGUAACCAAGAUAUCCGACCGUCUUGAAAAUUUAGUGAUGUCUCGGAGGCUAAAAUAGACACUUAAAUGUGUAUGGAUUUCAUGAAGAAAUAUUUGGAAAGAUUUUUGUAUCAAACUAUGAUGAGAUGGGCAUCAGCGCUUUGCAUAUGAAAAUUAUCUGAAAAUGGUCAU